RNAcentral lists this long non-coding RNA (740 nucleotides) under Homo sapiens (human). Its description in RNAcentral is "HSALNT0044782". The record is from RNAcentral. Lineage: Eukaryota; Metazoa; Chordata; Mammalia; Primates; Hominidae.
ACCAUCCAUGGACUCUCCAAACCAAACGUGUUUCUUCUCAGCACUAGAAUCUGUCCACCAGUGUUUCCGUGGAACAUUCAAAGGAUUGGCACUUAUGCAUGUCUCUGCAGUUUCUAGCGGGGUUUUUACGAGAACCAUCAGGACUAAUGAGGCUUUCUAUUUGUCCAUUAACAGACUUGAGUGAAGUCAUAAUCUCAUCGGUGUUGAUUUUGAAAUCCAUUGGUUCAUCUCCAUAAUACGGGGCAAAACCGCCAGCUUUUUCACCUCCAAUCCCAGCAAUGGCAGCGGCUCCAACACCACCACAGCAAGGACCAGGGGCACCAGGAGAUCCUCUUUCACCUCUGUUACCUCGAGGCCCUGGUGGUCCAAUGGGACCUGGAUGUCCACUGGUUCCAUCUUUGCCAGGAGGUCCACUGGGUCCAACAGGUCCUGGACUGCCGAUUGCACCCUGCUGACCAGCAGGGCCCUGGAAAGAAAGGAAGUGUACAUAGGAGUGAAGGCCUUAAAAAGCACUGGGAAACUGUACAUUCAAGAUCAGAUCAAGAAACAUGGGGAUCAUGAUGAAAUUUUUUUUCUUUCUUUAAUCUUCCCAUUGUGUCAUGCUGAUUGUUGUUUCAAAUUAGCCUUCAAAUCCAUUUCUCAUCUCUUCUAGUACAUAUUUUUAGAGAUGGAAAGCUUUCUUCUCUUAAUCUCUAAAAUUUGUAUACAUUGAAGGGAUUUUCCAACAAAAUGAAUGCACU